AAGGACUGCCAGGACUCGAAGUCUCCGGCUUGAGUUUGAGUUUCAGUUUUAGGUUGGCUGCGGAAGGGGGAAUAGGUUGAACGGGCGUUGAUGAGGAAUAAAACUUGCCAGGAGAAGGGACACCAGCUCACUCACAUACUCGUCGUGCGUGUAUGUGUGCGUAUUUGUAUGGUUACGAGGGGGGAAAGGACAUCAGCAAAGGACGAGCGGACGAACGGAAGCAACAAGAGGGCAAACAAUUUCUUCCUUUUGGCAUGAAAGUUGAGAGAAAACUUGACCUUAAAAGAAAAUUACAUGCUCGUGUGUGUGUGUGUGUGGGUGUGU
Molecule: non-coding RNA, 324 nt
Organism: Drosophila melanogaster (fruit fly)
Lineage: Eukaryota; Metazoa; Arthropoda; Insecta; Diptera; Drosophilidae
Source: Ensembl